UUCACUCACCCAACUUCCCCAACAUUCAUCAGACACGCUGUGAAUUGGAAACCCUAAUCCAAUUCGAAACCUGAAAAUCCCCCAAAUCCAUUGGCUUCUGGAAGGAAUUCGUUGAACUUUUCUUCCUGAAGGCAAAAUCGUUUCUGUGGAAGUAAAUGAAAUUACCCAAAAUUGAAACCCACGAAUCCCAAGGCGAACCUGGCGAUUUUUCCCCAAAAAAUCGAUCUGCAUCUGCAUCGGCAGGUUUAAUGGAUCCACGGAUAGUGUACUGGGUUUCUUCCAUCUUUUUUGCAGUUUUUGGAGGAGGACGAUUCUGUUACUUAUUUUAGAGAUUUUAAGAAAAAGGCCCAUUUUUUGUCAAUGGUGAUGAGGUAUGUAUCUAUAAAUAUUUCAAGUUCUACCAAAGUUUCGUAUUCUGCAGUAAUAUUUUUGGUUUGUUCAAUUAAAGAUUCUUCUUGAACUUUUUUGGAAAUUCUGGAGAUGGUGCAUAAUAAUGAAAUUAACCAUUAAUUAGCAAAUCUUAACUUGUUUUCUUGCAUUUGGGUUCAUUGUCACUGAUCAAGCCUUUUUCUUCUGCUCGAUUAUCUAUAACUUUGUAAUGGUACUUCUUUUGGUGGCUUUGUUGUGGAACAUUUACACUUUUUGAUUCCUAUAACAUGUUUUUUAGGAGUGGAAGACGUGCUGUGGGAUGUAAGUUUUUUAGAGUUGAAGAAAAUUAAUGGAAAUGUUGUAUGGCAUGUAUAGAUGAUGCAAGGAUACGGUAGAAUUUUCUUUGCAUUUAGAGAGUCUUCCAUAUUCAGAAACAAUUUAUGUGUGCAUGAUUGUUCUAUAUUGAUCUUUGAUUUGUAACUGCAGUGGCAAAGAAUUUUGUAUCUAUGGUUAUAUUGAUCUUUUUCUCUAGUUGAUGCAUCUCACGUGUAUCAGUAUGACAUAGCUGGACUAAUUUGACGAUAUUUUCUUUGCACUAUUUGCAGUGGACAAAGUAGAAACUUUGAAGCACUACAAAUUUAGCGUCACUUUCGAGAAUUCAAAUGAGGAGGAUUAAGUCACAAAUUUUUUUUUCUAGUGUCUCGUGGCUGGUAUUAGGAAGCCCGGUCAUCUGGGAAUGAUGUUCCGUCAUCUGGGAAAAAACCAUUGCAGUUUGAAGGUGAGUCUAGUGGAGACUCGGGGUGUGUUUGUUUGGGUAAAUGUACGUCUAAAGAUCCGAUUGAAGAUUUGUCGUUUAUAUUCACGAGAUUCGCUCAAAUAUUCAAAAAAGAAAACGUGGAGAUAUCCCCGAACAUAAUUAUCCGCAAGGUAAAAGGAUCUGCUGGAGAGAACAGCAAAGGAAAGGAAAGAGAAACGUGAACGUGUUCCAACAUUGUAAUGGAAGAAAAGACUAAUGUUAUAUUUUUCGUAGUUUGUAAUCGGUACUAAAUUUGGCGUAUGUUGAUUAUGUUGAAAUUUGGAUUAAAUUCAGUUGAAAUUAUUUCCAAACGUUAGUCACAGUGCUUUUAUUAAAGUUUCUAUUGUGAUGCCACAAUUUCGUGCUC
This 1532-nucleotide long non-coding RNA is filed under the name Olea europaea (common olive). Its description in RNAcentral is "long non-coding RNA (OEUR_LNC005911)". Lineage: Eukaryota; Viridiplantae; Streptophyta; Magnoliopsida; Lamiales; Oleaceae. The record is from RNAcentral.